AACGCGAAGAACCUUACCAGCUCUUGACAUCCCGAUGAAAGCAUUAGAGAUAGUGCCCCUCUUCGGAGCAUCGGAGACAGGUGGUGCAUGGUUGUCGUCAGCUCGUGUCGUGAGAUGUUGGGUUAAGUCCCGCAACGAGCGCAACCCUUGAUCUUAGUUGCCAGCAGGUUAAGCUGGGCACUCUAAGGUGACUGCCGGUGACAAACCGGAGGAAGGUGGGGAUGACGUCAAAUCAUCAUGCCCCUUAUGAGCUGGGCUACACACGUACUACAAUGGCCGGUACAACGGGCUGCGAAACCGCGAGGUGGAGCGAAUCCUUAAAAGCCGGUCUCAGUUCGGAUUGCAGGCUGCAACUCGCCUGCAUGAAGUCGGAAUUGCUAGUAAUCGCGGAUCAGCAUGCCGCGGUGAAUACGUUCCCGGGCCUUGUACACACCGCUACAGU
RNAcentral lists this ribosomal RNA (442 nucleotides) under uncultured bacterium. RNAcentral describes it as "bacterial SSU rRNA". It matches the Rfam family "Bacterial small subunit ribosomal RNA", at positions 958 to 1401 of the family's 1533-position model. The record is from RNAcentral.